AAUCAACGCUGGCGGCGUGCCUCAGACAUGCAAGUCGAACGAUUAAAGCUCUCUUCGGAGAGUGCAUAGAGUGGCGCACGGGUGAGUAACACGUAAGUAAUCUACCCUCGAGUGGGGAAUAACGUCCGGAAACGGACGCUAAUACCGCAUAAUGCAGCGGCACCGCAAGGUGACAGUUGUUAAAGAUUUAUCGCUUGAGGAGGAGCUUGCGGCAGAUUAGCUAGUUGGUAAGGUAAUGGCUUACCAAGGCUACGAUCUGUAACCGGUCUUAGAGGACGGUCGGUCACACUGACACUGAAUAACGGGUCAGACUCCUACGGGAGCAGCAGUCGGGAAUUUUGGGCAAUGGGCGAAAGCCUGACCCAGCAACGCCGCGUGAAGGAUGAAGUAUUUCGGUAUGUAAACUUCGAAAGAAUAGGAAGAAUAAAUGACGGUACUAUUUAUAAGGUCCGGCUAACUACGUGCCAGCAGCCG
This 474-nucleotide ribosomal RNA is filed under the name uncultured bacterium. RNAcentral describes it as "bacterial SSU rRNA". It matches the Rfam family "Bacterial small subunit ribosomal RNA", at positions 32 to 517 of the family's 1533-position model. The record is from RNAcentral.